Molecule: microRNA precursor, 106 nt
Organism: Medicago truncatula (barrel medic)
Lineage: Eukaryota; Viridiplantae; Streptophyta; Magnoliopsida; Fabales; Fabaceae
Rfam family: MIR2593 microRNA precursor family
Source: Rfam
UUAUAAGCAAAACUUUGCAUUUUAGAUUCAUUCAUUAAAUGAUAUAUGUGGUAUACCACAUAUAUCAUUUAAUGAAUGAAUCUAAAAUGCAAAAUUUUGCUUAUAG